CUCUCCCUCUUUCUUCAGGCCUAACACAUGCAAGUCGAACGAACCUUUCGGGGUUAGUGGCGGACGGGUGAGUAACACGUGGGAACGUGCCUUUAGGUUCGGAAUAACUCAGGGAAACUUGUGCUAAUACCGAAUGUGCCCUUCGGGGGAAAGAUUAAUCGCCUUUAGAGCGGCCCGCGUCUGAUUAGCUAGUUGGUUGAGGUAAUGGCUCACCAAGGCGACGAUCAGUAGCUGGUCUGAGAGGAUGAUCAGCCACAUUGGGACUGAGACACGGCCCAAACUCCUACGGGAGGCAGCAGUGGGGAAUCUUGCGCAAUGGGCGAAAGCCUGACGCAGCCAUGCCGCGUGAAUGAUGAAGGUCUUAGGAUUGUAAAAUUCUUUCACCGGAGACGAUAAUGACGGUACCCGGAGAAGAAGCCCCGGCUAACUUCGUG
This 434-nucleotide ribosomal RNA is filed under the name uncultured bacterium. Its description in RNAcentral is "partial 16S ribosomal RNA". It matches the Rfam family "Bacterial small subunit ribosomal RNA", at positions 36 to 507 of the family's 1533-position model. The record is from RNAcentral.